AUACGGAGGAUCCGAGCGUUAUCCGGAUUUAUUGGGUUUAAAGGGUGCGCAGGCGGCAAUUUAAGUCAGCGGUUAAAUCGUGGGGCUCAACCCCAUUCUGCCGUUGAUACUGGGUGGCUUGAUUUCGGUCGAGGUUGGCGGAAUUCGUUGUGUAGCGGGGAAAUGCAUAGAUAUGACGAAGAACACCGAUUGCGUAGGCAGCUGACCAGACCGCAAAUGACGCUCAUGCACGAAAGUGCGGGGAUCGAACAGGAUUAGAUACCCUGGUAGUCCGCACAGUAAACGAUGAAUACUUGUUUUCGGCGAUAUAAUGUCGGAGGCAAAGCGAAAGCGAUAAGUAUUCCACCUGGGGAGUACGCCGGCAACGGUGAAACUCAAAGGAAUUGGCGGGG
RNAcentral lists this ribosomal RNA (392 nucleotides) under uncultured bacterium. RNAcentral's name for it is "partial 16S ribosomal RNA". It matches the Rfam family "Bacterial small subunit ribosomal RNA", at positions 523 to 918 of the family's 1533-position model. The record is from RNAcentral.